GCCGGACACGUUGGCGCAUGCCUGUAAUCCCAGUAGCUUGGGAGGCUGAGACAGGAGGAUCUAGAGUUCGAAGCCAGCCUCAGCAACAGCAAGGUGCUAUUCAACUCAGUGAGACCCUGUCUCUA
RNAcentral lists this small RNA (125 nucleotides) under Marmota monax (woodchuck). Lineage: Eukaryota; Metazoa; Chordata; Mammalia; Rodentia; Sciuridae. The record is from RNAcentral.